This is a long non-coding RNA of Eucalyptus grandis, 1205 nucleotides long. RefSeq lists it as uncharacterized. Lineage: Eukaryota; Viridiplantae; Streptophyta; Magnoliopsida; Myrtales; Myrtaceae. The transcript has 3 exons. The record is from RefSeq and is a predicted model, not a curated record.
AGCAGAGGUGCAACAGAGGCAGGGAAGCAGCGAUGGAGGAGCAGGUGGAUCGGGAUGGCAGGUGGCUAGCGUGAUCCGCGGGUCGGGAUCAGCCUGGUCGGCAGCUGGCACGGCAAGAUGACGACCUACAAAAACAAACAAGAAAAGAGGAGAGAGAGGAACAGAGAAAACACUAGCACAAAAGCGAGGAAGAGACGGAGAACCGGGAAGAGAGAUAUCCGAGAGAGAGAAGUCGAAGGGGAGUUUUGGCUGCCAUCGGUGGUUCGUUCGUGAGUUGCUCUCCAUCGCGGCUCUUCUCGUUGAACCAAGCUACACAAGAUCCCAAGGAACCAGCUGCACACUGAAUUUUCCACUCGGUCCAAUCACACCCACUUUGGUCUUUUUGCCCUUUUGACUAAGUGCUUCUUUUGGGCCACCGACGGGCUCCUCUAGUGCGGUGAAGGAAGACUUCUGCGCAUAAGUGACGGACACCAAUGACUGGAAAUAUAAUAUUGAUUAUGGUAGAGAGUGACGACGGUGGUGCUGAACUGGAAACUUCGGGCAGCGACAACAGGAAGAGGUCCAGAGAUUUCCGGGACUGUUGGGAACAAUGACAGCGGAACUGCUGGAUGCUGCAACAGGGAUGCCAAGAAUGCGGAGGACUGAUCGCAGCUGUUUUUGCUGGGUUGGCCACGCGCACGCGACCGUCAGACAAUGAGGGGUGGCGGCAAGUCGUUGGUGAUGGGCAGUGAUGCCAAGUGACGGGACGUGCCAGCAGGAGAGGUAGAGGUGCACGAUGGACAAGCUGGCAGCAAGCGUAGUGACUGGUGAGGGACAGCCGUGCCGGCGUUCGUAGAAGGACAGGAGCCAGAGAUCAACAACAGCAAUAAGGCCUCGACAAUAUCAACGAGAAGGCGAACCAGACCACUGGACAAGAUCAGCAACGGUGUCAAGAAGUUAAACCACACUGGCGGAGGAGAACAAGCGAUCUCGAGCCGGAGAAUUUCAAGAACGAUGAACAGUUUCCUUUUUCUCUCACGUGUAUGGAUGACGUUGGAUCUAGACCUGAGGCUGCUAGACACCGACACCAAGAAUUGGCGGAAGUGGUGGUGAGACUUCUUCAACGCCGGGUAGGGGCUAGUGCAGGCGUCGCCUGAGGACGUUGCAGGGAGACCAGAGCCCGGCCCAGGUGGGGAGGAAAGAACGAAGGAGGGGCUGGGUCGGCC